UGUAACAUCUUCAGGCUUUUUCCAUGUGGGAGUAGGUGUCUGAGUUUCCUUACCCUUUAAGGCUGAAAAUAUUCCACUGUAUGUACAGACCAUUGCUGUAUUCAUUCACCACGGUCGGGUUGUCCCCACCGUCUGGCUAAUGUGAAUGAUGUUGCUGUGUGUGUAGGUGGAUAAAACUGAAGUUUCCCAAAGGCAGGUCUUUAUCAAGCAUAUACUCUGCCAGUUCUUAUGGAAAGAUACUCUGUUUUAUUUUUCUGCAGCUGCCAGCUGCUACUCUGUCCUGAGACAUGCAUCCUCCAGAAUAUGUCCCUGAACAUCACCACCUGACUCAGCUGAACUUUCUUUCUCAACCCCAGGUCACCUCUUGAAGAGUCUCUUCCCAUUUUUGGAUGCCAUGAGACACCCUCCUCUACAGCCAUCUCCAUCCACAGACCCUGCUGCUUUCCAGAGAGGAAGGAAGGCUUCACAGCUUCCAGGACAUGUCCUGGGGUCGCUUCCAUAGAAAUGAGUUCAGCCCAUGAACCAGACAAGGACGUCAGUUACACAGUCUCUCUGCUCACUGACAGAGAGUCAGAGACAAAGAGCCCGAAGGAGCAAGUACACAGGACCAUUUCCUUGAGAGAAAUCUUUUAACAUCUUUCUCAGAAGACAAGUCCCCACGUCAGUGGCAGCGGCAGAGGGUUCUUUUCCAAGACCUCUGCUCAGAUCAAGUCAGGAUUCUUGACCUUGGUACAUAAAAGCAUUUCAGGAUGAG
Molecule: long non-coding RNA, 754 nt
Organism: Myodes glareolus (Bank vole)
Lineage: Eukaryota; Metazoa; Chordata; Mammalia; Rodentia; Cricetidae
Source: RefSeq, a predicted model, not a curated record